CUCCUUUGACGUUAGCGGCGGACGGGUGAGUAACACGUGGGUAACCUACCUAUAAGACUGGGAUAACUUCGGGAAACCGGAGCUAAUACCGGAUAAUAUUUCGAACCGCAUGGUUCGAUAGUGAAAGGUGGUUUUGCUAUCACUUAUAGAUGGACCCGCGCCGUAUUAGCUAGUUGGUAAGGUAACGGCUUACCAAGGCGACGAUACGUAGCCGACCUGAGAGGGUGAUCGGCCACACUGUAACUGAGACACGGUCCAGACUCCUACGGGAGGCAGCAGCC
This 281-nucleotide ribosomal RNA is filed under the name uncultured Staphylococcus sp. RNAcentral's name for it is "partial 16S ribosomal RNA". It matches the Rfam family "Bacterial small subunit ribosomal RNA", at positions 81 to 355 of the family's 1533-position model. The record is from RNAcentral. Lineage: Bacteria; Bacillati; Bacillota; Bacilli; Caryophanales; Staphylococcaceae.